Molecule: ribosomal RNA, 490 nt
Filed under: uncultured bacterium
Lineage: Bacteria
Description: partial 16S ribosomal RNA
Rfam family: Bacterial small subunit ribosomal RNA
Source: RNAcentral
GAUGAAUGCUAGCUACAGGCUUAACACAUGCAAGUCGCGGGGCAGCAUGGGGGUUGCUUGCAAUCCCCGAUGGCGACCGGCGCACGGGUGAGUAACGCGUAUCCAACCUGCCCUUCACCACGGGAUAACCCGGCGAAAGUCGGACUAAUACCGUAUGUUGUCCAUUGACGGCAUCCGAUUUGGACGAAAGGCUUGGCGGUGAGGGAUGGGGAUGCGUCCGAUUAGCCAGACGGCGGGGUAACGGCCCACCGUGGCUACGAUCGGUAGGGGUUCUGAGAGGAAGGUCCCCCACACUGGAACUGAGACACGGUCCAGACUCCUACGGGAGGCAGCAGUGAGGAAUAUUGGUCAAUGGGCGUAAGCCUGAACCAGCCAAGUAGCGUGCAGGAUGACGGCCCUAUGGGUUGUAAACUGCUUUUAUGCGGGGAUAAAGUGGCCCACGUGUGGGCUUUUGCAGGUACCGCAUGAAUAAGGACCGGCUAAUUCCGUG